CACGCGGACGGGGAGCGCCCCGCCGCCGGCCCGCGGCGACCUUAAGACGCGGAGGAGGCGGAGGCCCGGGCCCGGCGGCCGGGCAGGUUCAUUUACGCUUGUUAGGGCAACCCAGGGGGUUGUCUUUCUCCUAGAAUGGAGUGUUUAUUUCUUAAUUGAUGUGCUGUUUCAUUUAGCGCUUGUGUGGGACUCAUGCUGUGGCUGUAAUUACUGUAAUCUCGGGAACAAGCAUCUCAGUUAGCGGGAGGGUGGCAAAGCACGUUCUCUCUCCGUCGCGCCCCCGCCCCUAUUCUCUCCUCUCUCUCUCUCUCUCUCUGCCUGAAGAUUUUGUCAGGUUUCAUAGCAGGAACGAGUAGGGCUCAAGAACAAAAGUCGUCGAGGGUGUGGGAACGGAAAAGAAUCAUCAAAGGUACAUUUGAGCCAGUUUUUUGGGGGGGGUGGGGCGGUGGCCGCUGGCGGCUGUCCUAAAGACCACCCUUGUCACGGAGCGAAGACGACGAGCAUCUACAGACUGAGCUGAUGGGACCUGCGUCCUCCUCCCGUUUUCUGGAGGGCCCCUCACCAGGACGUCAGGUGCAGAGCAACAACAGGGAAUCGCGGGGGUUCGGGGCGCGGAUGGAGGCAGUCAGUCCCCCGAGGAGGAGGACCUACUGGCCGCACGUUGCCCAGGGGCUGGUCUCCAAAACCAACACAGGGAAAGGAUUUUGUCAGAAGGAAGUACUCUUUGCUGUGUCUGCUGUCAGAAGGCCCACUUGUGAAUGUGUGGAGAUAACUGAGCCAAGUAUAUGUUACAGACCAGGAAGCAGAUUCUCACUUUACACGUAGCUGCCACUUUGAAAAAUGGCAAUUGCACUGU
Long non-coding RNA from Nyctereutes procyonoides (raccoon dog), 856 nucleotides. RefSeq lists it as uncharacterized. The transcript has 3 exons. NCBI's taxonomy places the organism in Eukaryota, Metazoa, Chordata, Mammalia, Carnivora, Canidae. The record is from RefSeq and is a predicted model, not a curated record.